Non-coding RNA from Schizosaccharomyces pombe (fission yeast), 235 nucleotides. NCBI's taxonomy places the organism in Eukaryota, Fungi, Ascomycota, Schizosaccharomycetes, Schizosaccharomycetales, Schizosaccharomycetaceae. The record is from the annotation of a GenBank genome assembly.
UUUAGGAUCAUUUUCAGAUGGUUUAGGACCAUGAGUCCUUGGCAUCCCCAGAGCUUCACUCUGGACGAGUGGAAAUGAUGAAGACAAUGAAGGUAGCAAUCCGGACAUCGCUUAUAUCAACAAUUCCACAGAUUUGAGGCUUAAGACUAGCGAUUCCCAGAUAUUGCUUCUAAGGAGUGGUUGGUCUCAAGAAAGAAUUUAAAACCUGAGCAGAAAAAAAAAUACUUACGCUUUC